This 454-nucleotide ribosomal RNA is filed under the name uncultured bacterium. RNAcentral's name for it is "bacterial SSU rRNA". It matches the Rfam family "Bacterial small subunit ribosomal RNA", at positions 340 to 784 of the family's 1533-position model. The record is from RNAcentral.
UACGGAAGGCAGCAGUGGGGAAUAUUGCACAAUGGGCGCAAGCCUGAUGCAGCCAUGCCGCGUGUAUGAAGAAGGCCUUCGGGUUGUAAAGUACUUUCAGUCGUGAGGAAGGUGUUAAGGUUAAUAACCUUAGCAAUUGACGUUAGCGACAGAAGAAGCACCGGCUAACUCCGUGCCAGCAGCCGCGGUAAUACGGAGGGUGCGAGCGUUAAUCGGAAUUACUGGGCGUAAAGGGCACGCAGGCGGUUAAUUAAGUUGGAUGUGAAAUCCCCGGGCUUAGCCUGGGAAUGGCAUUCAAGACUGGUUAGCUAGAGUCUUGUAGAGGGGGUAGAAUUCCAUGUGUAGCGGUGAAAUGCGUAGAGAUGUGGAGGAAUACCGGUGGCGAAGGCGGCCCCUGGGACAAAGGACUGACGCUCAUGUGCGAAAGCGUGGGGAGCGAAACAGGGAUUAGAUA